This 303-nucleotide ribosomal RNA is filed under the name uncultured Planctomycetota bacterium. RNAcentral describes it as "bacterial SSU rRNA". It matches the Rfam family "Bacterial small subunit ribosomal RNA", at positions 29 to 351 of the family's 1533-position model. The record is from RNAcentral. Lineage: Bacteria; Pseudomonadati; Planctomycetota.
AAUGAACGUUGGCGGCGUGGAUUAGGCAUGCAAGUCGAGCGUGUACCCCGCAAGGGGAAAGACGGCGAAAGGGACAGUAAUACGUAGAUACCAACCUUGGGGUCGAGGAUAGCCGCGGGAAACUGCGGGUAAUACUCGAUAACAUCUCCGGAUCAAAGGUGUGAUUCCGCCCUUAGACGGGUCUGCGUCCUAUUAGCUAGUUGGUGUGGUAAUGGCUCACCAAGGCGAUGAUGGGUAGCGGGUGUGAGAGCACGACCCGCGUCAUUGGGACUGAGACACUGCCCAGACACCUACGGGUGGCUG